AUUUCAAGGCGGGGUGCGAUUCCCCACCGGCGGUAUUUUCAUAUUUGAUGGAUAAGCCCGCAAGCCUUUACAGGCAUGAUUUGGUGAGAUUCCAAAGCCGACAGUAUAGUCUGGAUGAGAGAAAU
Molecule: non-coding RNA, 125 nt
Filed under: human gut metagenome
Description: FMN riboswitch (RFN element)
Rfam family: FMN riboswitch aptamer (RFN element)
About the family: The RFN element is a highly conserved domain that is found frequently in the 5'-untranslated regions of prokaryotic mRNAs that encode for flavin mononucleotide (FMN) biosynthesis and transport proteins. This element is a metabolite-dependent riboswitch that directly binds FMN in the absence of proteins.
Source: RNAcentral